AAAAAAAUGUAUAAUGUCACUCACUGGAUCGAUUAGAAGCGGCCGACAGGGUGCAACUGGAACUGGGUAGCUGGAGCGUAAGUGAGAGAGGGUAUUCAAUCUACCAAAUAUGCGUGACCACGAAUCUCACUUAAACUAUUCAAUUUGCUAUAAAUGGAUUAAGGCAAACAGACGGACAUGGCUAGAUCGGCUCAGCUCGUCGUCCAGAUCAAUAUGAUGGGAUAUGCUUCAUGUCUGCCUUUUAAAAAUGUCAACGGGCUCCGGAUGCGGCGAAUUUUGUAUAUGAUACCAGAAAAUUACGAUGAGCGUGAAUAGCGAGCAAAAAGGAGAACUAUGUUACUAUUUAUCUCUUAUCAGACUUUUAUACAAAAACAACCCAAAUGCUUGUUGGACAACAUGCAAAAGUGGAAGGAAGUUUAAUUGCUUUUUAUAACUUGUAGAUUAAUCAAUCUGGAAAAACAAAAUGAUAACAUGUGACCUUUAGAUAAUGCACUAUAAUUAAUUUUUGGGUUUAA
Molecule: long non-coding RNA, 515 nt
Organism: Drosophila montana
Lineage: Eukaryota; Metazoa; Arthropoda; Insecta; Diptera; Drosophilidae
Exons: 3
Source: RefSeq, a predicted model, not a curated record